This 497-nucleotide ribosomal RNA is filed under the name uncultured marine bacterium. Its description in RNAcentral is "bacterial SSU rRNA". It matches the Rfam family "Bacterial small subunit ribosomal RNA", at positions 49 to 526 of the family's 1533-position model. The record is from RNAcentral.
UAAUACAUGCAAGUCGAGCGAAGAGAUGGGAGCUUGCUCCCUGAUCUUAGCGGCGGACGGGUGAGUAACACGUGGGCAACCUGCCCUGCAGACUGGGAUAACUCCGGGAAACCGGAGCUAAUACCGGGUAAUACAUCGCACCGCAUGGUGCAAUGUUGAAAGUUGGCUUUCGAGCUAACACUGCAGGAUGGGCCCGCGGCGCAUUAGCUAGUUGGUAAGGUAAUGGCUUACCAAGGCGACGAUGCGUAGCCGACCUGAGAGGGUGAUCGGCCACACUGGGACUGAGACACGGCCCAGACUCCUACGGGAGGCAGCAGUAGGGAAUCUUCCGCAAUGGACGAAAGUCUGACGGAGCAACGCCGCGUGAGUGACGAAGGCCUUCGGGUCGUAAAGCUCUGUUGUUAGGGAAGAACAAGUACCGUUCGAAUAGGGCGGUACCUUGACGGUACCUAACCAGAAAGCCACGGCUAACUACGUGCCAGCAGCCGCGGUAAUAC